This 490-nucleotide ribosomal RNA is filed under the name uncultured bacterium. RNAcentral describes it as "partial 16S ribosomal RNA". It matches the Rfam family "Bacterial small subunit ribosomal RNA", at positions 28 to 507 of the family's 1533-position model. The record is from RNAcentral.
GAUGAACGCUAGCGAUAGGCUUAACACAUGCAAGUCGAGGGGCAGCAUGGUCUUAGCUUGCUAAGACUGAUGGCGACCGGCGCACGGGUGCGUAACGCGUAUGCAACUUGCCUCACAGAGGGGGAUAACCCGUCGAAAGACGGACUAAUACCGCGUACACUCCAUCUUGGGCAUCCAAGGUAGAGGAAAUGAAAUUCGCUGUGAGAUAGGCAUGCGUCCCAUUAGCUAGUUGGUGAGGUAACGGCUCACCAAGGCGACGAUGGGUAGGGGAACUGAGAGGUUGAACCCCCACACUGGUACUGAGACACGGACCAGACUCCAACGGGAGGAAGCAGUGAGGAAUAUUGGUCAAUGGGCGAGAGCCUGAACCAGCCAAGUCGCGUGAAGGAUGACUGUCUUAUGGAUUGUAAACUUCUUUUAUACGGGAAUAACAAGAGUCACGUGUGACUCCCUGCAUGUACCGUAUGAAUAAGCAUCGGCUAACUCCGUG